GACGAACGCUGGCGGCGUGCUUAACACAUGCAAGUCGAACGGAAAGGCCCUGCUUUUGUGGGGUGCUCGAGUGGCGAACGGGUGAGUAACACGUGAGUAACCUGCCCUUGACUUUGGGAUAACUUCAGGAAACUGGGGCUAAUACCGGAUAGGAGCUCCUGCUGCAUGGUGGGGGUUGGAAAGUUUCGGCGGUUGGGGAUGGACUCGCGGCGUAUCAGCUUGUUGGUGGGGUAGUGGCUUACCAAGGCUUUGACGGGUAGCCGGCCUGAGAGGGUGACCGGCCACAUUGGGCCUGAGAUACGGCCCAGACUCCUACGGGAGGCAGCAGUGGGGAAUAUUGCACAAUGGGCGGAAGCCUGAUGCAGCAACGCCGCGUGCGGGAUGACGGCCUUCGGGUUGUAAACCGCUUUCGCCUGUGACGAAGCGUGAGUGACGGUAAUGUGUAAAGAAGCACCGGCUAACUACGUG
RNAcentral lists this ribosomal RNA (468 nucleotides) under uncultured bacterium. RNAcentral describes it as "partial 16S ribosomal RNA". It matches the Rfam family "Bacterial small subunit ribosomal RNA", at positions 28 to 507 of the family's 1533-position model. The record is from RNAcentral.